Molecule: transfer RNA, 92 nt
Filed under: human gut metagenome
Also listed under: 2 other names
Description: Selenocysteine transfer RNA
Rfam family: Selenocysteine transfer RNA
Source: RNAcentral
GGAGUAGAUAGGUGCUGGUGUGCCUUACGGUCUUCAAAACCGCUAUGUGGCGUUAGGAGCGUCAUGGGUGGGUUCGAUUCCCACGUACUCCC